RNAcentral lists this ribosomal RNA (253 nucleotides) under uncultured bacterium. RNAcentral describes it as "partial 16S ribosomal RNA". It matches the Rfam family "Bacterial small subunit ribosomal RNA", at positions 524 to 776 of the family's 1533-position model. The record is from RNAcentral.
GACAGAGGGUGCAAACGUUGUUCGGAAUUACUGGGCGUAAAGGGCGCGUAGGCGGGAUGGCAAGUCGGUCGUGAAAUCCUUCGGCUCAACCGAAGAACGUCGGCCGAUACUGCCGUUCUUGAGGGAUGCAGAGGAGAUUGGAAUUCCCGGUGUAGCGGUGAAAUGUGUAGAGAUCGGGAGGAACACCGGUGGCGAAGGCGGGUCUCUGGGCAUCUCCUGACGCUGAGGCGCGAAAGCGUGGGGAGCAAACGGG